This is a non-coding RNA of Triticum aestivum (bread wheat), 125 nucleotides long. The record is from Rfam. Lineage: Eukaryota; Viridiplantae; Streptophyta; Magnoliopsida; Poales; Poaceae.
GUAGUACUCCCUCCAUCCGAAAAUACUUGUCGCAAAGAUGCAUAAAAAUGGAUGUAUCUAGAACUAAAAUACGUCUAGAAACAUCCAUUCCUCCAACAAGUAUUUCCGGACGGAGGGAGUAAUAG